Molecule: ribosomal RNA, 468 nt
Filed under: uncultured bacterium
Lineage: Bacteria
Description: partial 16S ribosomal RNA
Rfam family: Bacterial small subunit ribosomal RNA
Source: RNAcentral
GACGAACGCUGGCGGCGUGCUUAACACAUGCAAGUCGAACGGAAAGGCCCUGCUUUUGUGGGGUGCUCGAGUGGCGAACGGGUGAGUAACACGUGAGUAACCUGCCCUUGACUUUGGGAUAACUUCAGGAAACUGGGGCUAAUACCGGAUAGGAGCUCCUGCUGCAUGGUGGGGGUUGGAAAGUUUCGGCGGUUGGGGAUGGACUCGCGGCUUAUCAGCUUGUUGGUGGGGUAGUGGCUUACCAAGGCUUUGACGGGUAGCCGGCCUGAGAGGGUGACCGGCCACAUUGGGACUGAGAUACGGCCCAGACUCCUACGGGAGGCAGCAGUGGGGAAUAUUGCACAAUGGGCGGAAGCCUGAUGCAGCAACGGCGCGUGCGGGAUGACGGCCUUCGGGUUGUAAACCGCUUUCGCCUGUGACGAAGCGUGAGUGACGGUAAUGGGUACAGAAGCACCGGCUAACUACGUG